GACGAACGCUGGCGGCGUGUUUAACACAUGCAAGUCGAACGGAAAGGCCCUGCUUUUGUGGGGUGCUCGAGUGGCGAACGGGUGAGUAACACGUGAGUAACCUGCCCUUGACUUUGGGAUAACUUCAGGAAACUGGGGCUAAUACCGGAUAGGAGCUCCUGCUGCAUGGUGGGGGUUGGAAAGUUUCGGCGGUUGGGGAUGGACUCGCGGCUUAUCAGCUUGUUGGUGGGGUAGUGGCUUACCAAGGCUUUGACGGGUAGCCGGCCUGAGAGGGUGACCGGCCACAUUGGGACUGAGAUACGGCCCAGACUCCUACGGGAGGCAGCAGUGGGGAAUAUUGCACAAUGGGCGGAAGCCUGAUGCAGCAACGCCGCGUGCGGGAUGACGGCCUUCGGGUUGUAAACCGCUUUCGCCUGUGACGAAGCGUGAGUGACGGUAAUGGGUAAAGAAGCACCGGCUAACUACGUGCCAGCAGCCGCGGUGAUACGUAGGGUGCGAGCGUUGUCCGGAUUUAUUGGGCGUAAAGGGCUCGUAGGUGGUUGAUCGCGUCGGAAGUGUAAUCUUGGGGCUUAACCCUGAGCGUGCUUUCGAUACGGGCUGACUUGAGGAAGGUAGGGGAGAAUGGAAUUCCUGGUGGAGCGGUGGAAUGCGCAGAUAUCAGGAGGAACACCAGUGGCGAAGGCGGUUCUCUGGGCCUUUCCUGACGCUGAGGAGCGAAAGCGUGGGGAGCGAACAGGCUUAGAUACCCUGGUAGUCCACGCUGUAAACGGUGGGUACUAGGUGUGGGGUCCAUUCCACGGGUUCCGUGCCGUAGCUAACGCUUUAAGUACCCCGCCUGGGGAGUACGGCCGCAAGGCUAAAACUCAAAGGAAUUGACGGGGCCCCGCACAAGCGGCGGAGCAUGCGGAUUAAUUCGAUGCAACGCGUAGAACCUUACCUGGGUUUGACAUGGAUCGGGAGUGCUCAGAGAUGGGUGUGCCUCUUUUGGGGUCGGUUCACAGGUGGUGCAUGGCUGUCGUCAGCUCGUGUCGUGAGAUGUUGGGUUAAGUCCCGCAACGAGCGCAACCCUUGUUCACUGUUGCCAGCACGUUAUGGUGGGGACUCAGUGGAGACCGCCGGGGUCAACUCGGAGGAAGGUGGGGAUGACGUCAAGUCAUCAUGCCCCUUAUGUCCAGGGCUUCACGCAUGCUACAAUGGCUGGUACAGAGAGUGGCGAGCCUGUGAGGGUGAGCGAAUCUCGGAAAGCCGGUCUCAGUUCGGAUUGGGGUCUGCAACUCGACCUCAUGAAGUCGGAGUCGCUAGUAAUCGCAGAUCAGCAACGCUGCGGUGAAUACGUUCCCGGG
RNAcentral lists this ribosomal RNA (1343 nucleotides) under uncultured bacterium. RNAcentral's name for it is "16S ribosomal RNA". It matches the Rfam family "Bacterial small subunit ribosomal RNA", at positions 28 to 1378 of the family's 1533-position model. The record is from RNAcentral.